AGUGAACGCUGGCGGUAGGCCUAACACAUGCCAGUCGAACGGCAGCACAGUAAGAGCUUGCUCUUACGGGUGGCGAGUGGCGGACGGGUGAGGAAUACAUCGGAAUCUACUUUUUCGUGGGGGAUAACGUAGGGAAACUUACGCUAAUACCGCAUACGACCUACGGGUGAAAGCAGGGGAUCUUCGGACCUUGCGCGAUUGAAUGAGCCGAUGUCGGAUUAGUUAGUUGGCGGGGUAAAGGCCCACCAAGGCGACGAUCCGUAGCUGGUCUGAGAGGAUGAUCAGCCGCACUGGAACUGAGACACGGUCCAGACUCCUACGGGAGGCAGCAGUGGGGAAUAUUGGACAAUGGGCGCAAGCCUGAUCCAGCCAUACCGCGUGGGUGAAGAAGGCCUUCGGGUUGUAAAGCCCUUUUGUUGGGAAAGAAAAGCAGCAGGUUAAUACCCCGCUGUUCUGACGGUACCCAAAGAAUAAGCACCGGCUAACUUCGUG
Molecule: ribosomal RNA, 492 nt
Filed under: uncultured bacterium
Lineage: Bacteria
Description: partial 16S ribosomal RNA
Rfam family: Bacterial small subunit ribosomal RNA
Source: RNAcentral